RNAcentral lists this ribosomal RNA (497 nucleotides) under uncultured bacterium. Its description in RNAcentral is "partial 16S ribosomal RNA". It matches the Rfam family "Bacterial small subunit ribosomal RNA", at positions 28 to 507 of the family's 1533-position model. The record is from RNAcentral.
GAUGAACGCUGGCGGCGUGCCUAAUACAUGCAAGUCGAGCGAACAGACGAGGAGCUUGCUCCUCUGACGUUAGCGGCGGACGGGUGAGUAGCACGUGGAUAACCUACCUAUAAGACUGGGAUAACUUCGGGAAACCGGAGCUAAUACCGGAUAAUAUAUUGAACCGCAUGGUUCAGUAGUGAAAGACGGUUUUGCUGUCACUUAUAGAUGGAUCCGCGCCGCAUUAGCUAGUUGGUAAGGUAACGGCUUACCAAGGCAACGAUGCGUAGCCGACCUGAGAGGGUGAUCGGCCACACUGGAACUGAGACACGGUCCAGACUCCUACGGGAGGCAGCAGUAGGGAAUCUUCCGCAAUGGGCGAAAGCUUGACGGAGCAACGCCGCGUGAGUGAUGAAGGUCUUCGGAUCGUAAAACUCUGUUAUUAGGGAAGAACAAAUGUGUAAGUAACUAUGCACGUCUUGACGGUACCUAAUCAGAAAGCCACGGCUAACUACGUG